GCUAGUAAUCGCGGAUCAGCAUGCCGCGGUGAAUACGUUCCCGGGCCUUGUACACACCGCCCGUCACACCAUGAGAGUCGGGACACCCGAAGUCCGUAGUCUAACCGCAAGGGGGACGCGGCCGAAGGUGGAUUCGAUAAUUGGGGUGAAGUCGUAACAAGGUAAC
Molecule: ribosomal RNA, 166 nt
Filed under: uncultured bacterium
Lineage: Bacteria
Description: partial 16S ribosomal RNA
Rfam family: Bacterial small subunit ribosomal RNA
Source: RNAcentral